RNAcentral lists this ribosomal RNA (254 nucleotides) under uncultured bacterium. RNAcentral describes it as "partial 16S ribosomal RNA". It matches the Rfam family "Bacterial small subunit ribosomal RNA", at positions 524 to 776 of the family's 1533-position model. The record is from RNAcentral.
UACGUAGGGGGCAAGCGUUGUCCGGAAUCAUUGGGCGUAAAGAGCGUGUAGGCGGCCCGGUAAGUCCGCUGUGAAAGUCCAGGGCUCAACCCCGGGAUGCCGGUGGAUACUGUCGGGCUCGAGUCCGGAAGAGGAGUGUGGACUUCCCGGUGUAGCGGUGAAAUGCGCAGAUAAUCGGGAAGAACACCCGUGGCGAAGGCGGCUCUCUGGGACGGUACUGACGCUGAGACGCGAAAGCGUGGGGAGCGAACAGG